AACGCACAUUGCGCCCGCCAGCAUUCUGGCGGGCAUGCCUGCCCGAGCGUCAUCUACACCCCUCGCCCCCCUCUGCCGGGGGCGGUGUUGGGGACCGGGGCGGCGGAACCACUGGGAACCGCCGCCCCCUCCCUCAAGUCCAUUGGCGGUCCCGCCGGCGCCCUCCCGCGUAGUAUCACUACCCCGCGGGCCGGGUGCGCCCGGCGGCGGCACAGCCACUAAACACCCCAACGUCGGGCCGAGAGGCCCUGUGACCUUGACCUCGGAUCAGGUAGGAAUACCCGCUGAACUUAA
Molecule: unclassified non-coding RNA, 294 nt
Filed under: uncultured fungus
Lineage: Eukaryota; Fungi
Description: partial contains 5.8S ribosomal RNA, internal transcribed spacer 2, and large subunit ribosomal RNA
Source: RNAcentral